UGCCGCGACCAGCCCGUUUUGGCUCUUUCUCCGCGUUGCCAGCACCAGGGGGUUGGGGUCACCGUGCGCGUUGCUCCUCCGCUCUCUCUAUUUCCAUCUCCUUGCUUUGUUUUGCGAUCUCGCCGACGGACGCUGUCAAACCCUCAUAGGUUGCUUUUCUCCCUUUCUCGCGGAACGCCGGCGUGUCAAGACGAGGCCAUGAGCAGUACAGAACCCCCUGCUGUACCCGUGAAGGUCGUCGUCGACUGCAAGGAGGUUGGCGUCACCAUCGAUUUGCAUAGCCCACCAACGGCGUCGAACUUCCUCGCGUACAACCGCGUUUGCUCAACGCUGGACAGCGACUACCUCAUGCAGCCCAUCAACGAAGCGCAGUACGACAGCGAGACGCAGGCGUGCGUCGACCGCCUCUCCAACGGGCCGACGUCGUUCUAUGAUCACUACGUCCGCAAGCCGACGCGUAAACGCGGUCUGGCCGUUGGGUGCGAGAGCCCCAUGGAGCACAUAGGCGUGAGCGACGACUUUUUGAUGCCACCGACCCAACGCGACUUGCCCGCCGCAUGUGUGAAAGGUGGCAUUUUUAGUGAUCCGUUGACGCGCAGACUUGCGACUGGACGAAUGCCGUCGCGUAACUGAUGAGAUCUCACUCACAUGCUCUCGCGAUUAGAGCUGCGUGUUCGUGAUCAUCUUCCCCUGUAUUCACGCACCGCCCAAACAGGGCACACAGCCAACAACAAAAAAAAAACGUUUUCCUCAUACAGGGUUUGCGACUGGAGUGUCUCUGCCUGCACGACCGCAUGCCGACCACUAAGCAAACAUGCACCCGCGGAGUGCCUAGCUGGCACCGCCGCAGCGGCGCACAUGGCCACACCGACGCGCACCCGAAACACAAGCUGCCGCCACCUCGUCUGCCCGCGCCUUCCUCGGCGUUUUCUGCUUUGCGCGCGCUUGGGGGUGGGGAAGGCUUAGCCUGGCGGCGAGGGCGCCGGUGGCGGGCCGUGGGGGGAGGAAAGGCCGCGCCGCCACCCCC
This 1027-nucleotide unclassified non-coding RNA is filed under the name Leishmania donovani. RNAcentral describes it as "gene:LdHU3.22.0060(CDS-product:hypothetical_prote in_conserved)". The record is from RNAcentral. Lineage: Eukaryota; Euglenozoa; Kinetoplastea; Trypanosomatida; Trypanosomatidae.